GAUGAAGAACGCAGCGAAAUGCGAUAAGUAAUGUGAAUUGCAGAAUUCAGUGAAUCAUCGAAUCUUUGAACGCACAUUGCGCCCGUCAGUAUUCUGGCGGGCAUGCCUGUUCGAGCGUCUUUACGCCCCUCAAGUCCCCUGUGGACUUGGUGUUGGGGAUCGGCGAGGCUGGUUUUCCAGCACAGCCGUCCCUUAAAUUAAUUGGCGGUCUCGCCGUGGCCCUCCUCUGCGCAGUAGUAAAACACUCGCAACAGGAGCCCGGCGCGGUCCACUGCCGUAAAACCCCCCAACUUUUUAUAGUUGACCUCGAAUCAGGUAGGACUACCCGCUGAACUUAAGCAUAUCAAUAAGCGGAGGA
RNAcentral lists this unclassified non-coding RNA (358 nucleotides) under soil metagenome. RNAcentral describes it as "partial contains 5.8S ribosomal RNA, internal transcribed spacer 2, and large subunit ribosomal RNA". The stretch from base 1 to 120 matches the Rfam family "5.8S ribosomal RNA", at positions 35 to 154 of the family's 154-position model. The record is from RNAcentral.